GCAGUCGUGGCCGAGUGGUUAAGGUGAUGGACUAGAAAUCCAUUGGGGUCUCCCCGUACAUUCUCAAAUCCUGUCGACUGCG
Molecule: non-coding RNA, 82 nt
Organism: Ixodes scapularis (black-legged tick)
Lineage: Eukaryota; Metazoa; Arthropoda; Arachnida; Ixodida; Ixodidae
Source: Rfam